GAAGAUAUAGUUCAAAUGGUAGAGCAAAUGCUUAGCGUGCAUGAGGUCUUGGGUUCAAUCCCUGGUACCUCCU
This 73-nucleotide transfer RNA is filed under the name Camelus bactrianus (Bactrian camel). It matches the Rfam family "tRNA". From Rfam's summary of the family: Transfer RNA (tRNA) molecules are approximately 80 nucleotides in length. Their secondary structure includes four short double-helical elements and three loops (D, anti-codon, and T loops). Lineage: Eukaryota; Metazoa; Chordata; Mammalia; Artiodactyla; Camelidae. The record is from Rfam by way of RNAcentral. RNAcentral also lists the same sequence under 2 other names.